AAAAAUAAAAAUAAAAAUAAAAAUAAAAAUAAUUUAUAUAAUUAUCACACCUCUCUCUCUUUCUUCUCAAACCAAAACAUUAAUCUAACAGCCCUUAUCUCUUUCCCCUCUCUCUUAAACUCUUAUAAAACACAAAAAAAAACCCUAAAGUUUCUAACAGCCAACAUCUCAGCCCGUCAGCCGCAAGAGGCCUCUCUCCCUCCAUUCGAAACUAAGAGAUUGAGAAAUUCUCUCUCUCCCUCCAUUCGAAAGCCUCCAUUAACGUCGCCCCCUCCUCUUCUCUCUCACUUAACCAGAAACUUCCAUUAAUAUCGCCCCUCCUCCGCCCUUUGAUUUUGAUCUCCUCCCUCUUUCUCUCGGUGGUUUUAAACCACCCACAUACUCUUCUUCUUCUCUCAGUGGUUUUGGAUCCACCCGCCUACUCUCUCUCUUCUCUCGGUGGUUUCAAACCCGCCAGCCAUUGAAGGUCCUCCGCUGGCACCGCCUAACUCCAUCUCCAACUCCGAUUCGCCUCCAUUGGGCUCUUACACCCACAGAAUGAAUGGCUCUUAUACACGAGUACGUCACUCUGCUGCUUCAUGGACCGACGACUGACCCUACAGACCAACACGAGUGUUUCCAGCAUGCUUUGUCCUCACUCGCACGCUUCCUGAGAAAAGUUCCCAGGAGGUCACCCAUCCUUGAAUUGCCCCAGGUCAAGCACGCUUAACUGUGGAGUUCUUUCGUGAUGAGCUACCGAAAAACAAGAUGCAACUUGUUGACAUAGGUAGUACCAAUCAAUCUAUUUAAGCUAUCUUCAACUGUGUAGUCUCAUACCUACACAGUCUCAGAAUCAUCCCACUUGACCUUCCCCAGGCGAUGUGGGAUUGCACAGCUUACCCGGUAUUUCCCCUUACGGAUCACGGGACUACUGACUGUCACAAUCACCCCCCUUACGGGGUCCGACGUCCUCGUCGACCACACUUCCGGCUGGGUCAAGGCUCUGAUACCAUUUGAAACGUCCCCGCUUCAAGCCUCCAUUGGGCCCUUACACCCACAGAAUGAAUGACUCUUAUACACGAGUACGUCACUCUGCUGCUUCAUGGACCGACGACUGACCCUACAGACCAACACGAGUGUUUCCAGCAUGCUUUGUCCUCACUCGCACGCUUCCUGAGAAAACUUCCCAGGAGGUCACCCAUCCUUGAAUUGCCCCAGGUCAAGCACGCUUAACUGUGGAGUUCUUUCGUGAUGAGCUACCGAAAAACAAGAUGCACCUUGUUGACAUAGGUAGUACCAAUCAAUCUAUUUAAGCUCUCUUCAACUGUGUAGUCUCAUACCUACACAGUCUCAGAAUCAUCCCACUUGACCUUCCCCAGGCGAUGUGGGAUUGCACAGCUUACCCGAUAUUUCCCCUUACGGAUCACGGGACUACUGACUGUCACAAGUUGGUUGUAUGUGUUAAGUUUUAUCUUGAUUUUAUACAAGAAGGUUAAGCAUUGCUGAUUUUUUUUUAGGUGAGAACUUAUGAUAAUGUGCAUACUUAUGAUUUGGAUGCUGUAAGAGUAAAAUAUACAGGAUUGUUGUUAUCAUUUAUUAGAAACUCCUUACCCUUUUAAUUUUAUAUUGAUAUUAAUGUGAAGAGUUUUGUUAAUUUAAAUUAGCAGUCAUUCUCUGUUCUAUGUUUCUGUGUGUAUAUGCAGGUGGACGAAAAAAGUUUGGGGUAAUCUAGACCUUCGCAGGGCUUCGCAUUUAACGGGGAUUUAGAGCUGGGCUCGUGUUCAAUCUAGUCUAUUCAUGUUUAGAAAAUGAGUAAUUUUUUUUCAUAAAUGUAUUUUGUAACUGGGUUUUAGUUGUAACUUUUAUUUUAUUUCUUAUUUUUCUGGGUUUGAAGUGUUGAUAUCAAGUGCUAUUUUGGUUGGGUUACUGUACAUUUGGAUUCUUAGUAUGAAAAAAGAUUAGUAUUGGUAAAAAAAAAUUGUUCAUUUGUAAACUCUGCUGAUUUUGGUAAAAUGGUUAAUACAAAA
Long non-coding RNA from Cannabis sativa, 2006 nucleotides. RefSeq lists it as uncharacterized. NCBI's taxonomy places the organism in Eukaryota, Viridiplantae, Streptophyta, Magnoliopsida, Rosales, Cannabaceae. The transcript has 2 exons. The record is from RefSeq and is a predicted model, not a curated record.